Molecule: ribosomal RNA, 445 nt
Filed under: uncultured Pelagibacterales bacterium
Lineage: Bacteria; Pseudomonadati; Pseudomonadota; Alphaproteobacteria; Candidatus Pelagibacterales
Description: bacterial SSU rRNA
Rfam family: Bacterial small subunit ribosomal RNA
Source: RNAcentral
GAAGUGGGUAGUCCGCACGAGCGCACCUCACUUUUAGUUGCUACCAUUUAGUUGGGCACUCUGAAAGAACUGCCAGUGAUAAGCUGGAGGAAGGUGGGGAUGACGUCAAGUCCUCAUGGCCCUUACGUGUUGGGCUACACACGUGCUACAAUGGCAUCUACAACAGGAAGCAAGAAUGCGAAUUUAAGCAAAUCCCUAAAAGAUGCCUCAGUUCGGAUUGUACUCUGCAACUCGAGUACAUGAAGCUGGAAUUACUAGUAAUCGUGGAUCAGCGUGCCACGGUGAAUACGUUCCCGGGUCUUGUACACACCGCCCGUCACACCAUGGGAGUUGGUUCUACCUUAAGGCAAAGCUUAAAACCUUUGACCACGGUAUAGUCAGCGACUGGGGUGAGGUCGUAACAAGGUAGCCGUAGGGGAACCUGCGGCUGGAUUACCUCCUUUCU